CCUACGGGUUGCACCAGUGGGGAAUCUUGCGCAAUGCGCGAAAGCGUGACGCAGCAACGCCGCGUGGGGGAAGAAGGCCCUCGGGUUGUAAACCCCUUUCAGUUGGGACGAAGCUUCGCCGGUGAAUAGCCGGCUGGAGUGACGGUACCUUCACAAGAAGCCCCGGCUAACUACGUGCCAGCAGCCGCGGUAAUACGUAGGGGGCUAGCGUUGUCCGGAAUCAUUGGGCGUAAAGAGCGUGUAGGCGGCCCGGUAAGUCCGCUGUGAAAGUCGGGGGCUCAACCCUCGAAAGCCGGUGGAUACUGUCGGGCUAGAGUGCGGAAGAGGCGAGUGGAACUCCUGGUGUAGCGGUGAAAUGCGCAGAUAUCAGGAGGAACACCGAUUGCGAAGGCAGCUCGCUGGGACGUAACUGACGCUGAGACGCGAAAGCGUGGGGAGCAAACAGGAUUAGAUACCCGCGUAGUC
This 465-nucleotide ribosomal RNA is filed under the name uncultured bacterium. RNAcentral describes it as "bacterial SSU rRNA". It matches the Rfam family "Bacterial small subunit ribosomal RNA", at positions 338 to 795 of the family's 1533-position model. The record is from RNAcentral.